Long non-coding RNA from Sitodiplosis mosellana (orange wheat blossom midge), 838 nucleotides. RefSeq lists it as uncharacterized. The transcript has 3 exons. Lineage: Eukaryota; Metazoa; Arthropoda; Insecta; Diptera; Cecidomyiidae. The record is from RefSeq and is a predicted model, not a curated record.
GUGUUGAUUGAGAUGGUUCUUUUGGCCAAUUCUUUGCCCAUACCACAUUCGAACAACCCAACUUGCCAUAAACACUCAUUGUCUUGGAUUAACGGACCAGCCGCAUCAUAAGCUGAAAAAAAGUUUGCACAUAUACAAUGGGCUUGAUUCGAGUUAUACAACCAAGGAGAUUGACAAUAUUUUGGAUCGAAGUGAAAAAUAAUUCCUAUCACAUAUCGUGAUUAAGUUCAUCAUUGAUUCAUACAUGAUAGCCUAGACAAAAUCUAAAUCAGAUUUCACAAACAUUUUACACGGAUUUCGACAGAAUAUCUAACCUCUUUUUUUAUAGUCAAUAUCGAACAGUCUUUUACAUUUACAUACUGAUUACCAUUGAGAGUGUGUCAAAAAAAUUUUUUUCCAAAUUUUCCAAUAAAAUUUACCUGCCAUUUCUUUGACACGACCACCCAUUCGAAUGACAUGUCUGCAUGCGAAUCCACCGAUAUGCGCGCCAAGACUAUGUCCCGAUAAACUAACUAUGGAUGGAUCCCCGAGUUUCAUUAUAACCCUUCCAAUUAACUCGCCCAAUGGCUUAAGCAUAAAUCCAGCCAGGCAAGCGUAAUCAUUUCCGCUAAUUUUGCCCCAGUAAACAAUAAUCACAAUGCAAUCGGUACGACAAUUUAAACUCUCUGCUGAGUACGUUAGCCAAUCUGUAAGAUUUGUGAAAUGGAUCAAAGGCACAUCAUUGGGAUCGAUUGUACAAUCUGUUGCCCAUCCUCCAAUUAAAAAUCGAAUGCACCGUGCUGACCUCCGUACAUAUUUAUGUGGAUUCUUUAACAUUUUGCUUGCAACCACCACACGG